RNAcentral lists this ribosomal RNA (2900 nucleotides) under Klebsiella pneumoniae. RNAcentral describes it as "bacterial LSU rRNA". It matches the Rfam family "Bacterial large subunit ribosomal RNA". The record is from RNAcentral. Lineage: Bacteria; Pseudomonadati; Pseudomonadota; Gammaproteobacteria; Enterobacterales; Enterobacteriaceae.
UUAAGCGACUAAGCGUACACGGUGGAUGCCCUGGCAGUCAGAGGCGAUGAAGGACGUGCUAAUCUGCGAAAAGCGUCGGUAAGGUGAUAUGAACCGUUAUAACCGGCGAUGUCCGAAUGGGGAAACCCAGUGCAAUUCGUUGCACUAUCGUUAACUGAAUACAUAGGUUAACGAGGCGAACCGGGGGAACUGAAACAUCUAAGUACCCCGAGGAAAAGAAAUCAACCGAGAUUCCCCCAGUAGCGGCGAGCGAACGGGGAGCAGCCCAGAGUCUGAAUCAGCUUGUGUGUUAGUGGAACGGUCUGGAAAGUCCGACGGUACAGGGUGAUAGUCCCGUACACCAAAAUGCACAGGUUGUGAACUCGAAGAGUAGGGCGGGACACGUGGUAUCCUGUCUGAAUAUGGGGGGACCAUCCUCCAAGGCUAAAUACUCCUGACUGACCGAUAGUGAACCAGUACCGUGAGGGAAAGGCGAAAAGAACCCCGGCGAGGGGAGUGAAAAAGAACCUGAAACCGUGUACGUACAAGCAGUGGGAGCACCUUCGGGUGUGACUGCGUACCUUUUGUAUAAUGGGUCAGCGACUUAUAUUCUGUAGCAAGGUUAACCGUAUAGGGGAGCCGCAGGGAAACCGAGUCUUAACUGGGCGUUAAGUUGCAGGGUAUAGACCCGAAACCCGGUGAUCUAGCCAUGGGCAGGUUGAAGGUUGGGUAACACUAACUGGAGGACCGAACCGACUAAUGUUGAAAAAUUAGCGGAUGACUUGUGGCUGGGGGUGAAAGGCCAAUCAAACCGGGAGAUAGCUGGUUCUCCCCGAAAGCUAUUUAGGUAGCGCCUCGUGAACUCAUCUUCGGGGGUAGAGCACUGUUUCGGCUAGGGGGUCAUCCCGACUUACCAACCCGAUGCAAACUACGAAUACCGAAGAAUGUUAUCACGGGAGACACACGGCGGGUGCUAACGUCCGUCGUGAAGAGGGAAACAACCCAGACCGCCAGCUAAGGUCCCAAAGUCAUGGUUAAGUGGGAAACGAUGUGGGAAGGCACAGACAGCCAGGAUGUUGGCUUAGAAGCAGCCAUCAUUUAAAGAAAGCGUAAUAGCUCACUGGUCGAGUCGGCCUGCGCGGAAGAUGUAACGGGGCUAAACCAUGCACCGAAGCUGCGGCAGCGACACUAUGUGUUGUUGGGUAGGGGAGCGUUCUGUAAGCCUGCGAAGGUGACCUGUGAGGGUUGCUGGAGGUAUCAGAAGUGCGAAUGCUGACAUAAGUAACGAUAAAGCGGGUGAAAAGCCCGCUCGCCGGAAGACCAAGGGUUCCUGUCCAACGUUAAUCGGGGCAGGGUGAGUCGACCCCUAAGGCGAGGCCGAAAGGCGUAGUCGAUGGGAAACAGGUUAAUAUUCCUGUACUUGGUGUUACUGCGAAGGGGGGACGGAGAAGGCUAUGUUAGCCGGGCGACGGUUGUCCCGGUUUAAGCAUGUAGGCUGAUUGUCCAGGCAAAUCCGGAUAAUCAAGGCUGAGGUGUGAUGACGAGGCACUACGGUGCUGAAGUAACAAAUGCCCUGCUUCCAGGAAAAGCCUCUAAGCAUCAGGUAACAUCAAAUCGUACCCCAAACCGACACAGGUGGUCAGGUAGAGAAUACCAAGGCGCUUGAGAGAACUCGGGUGAAGGAACUAGGCAAAAUGGUGCCGUAACUUCGGGAGAAGGCACGCUGGUGUGUAGGUGAAGUCCCUGCGGAUGGAGCUGAGACCAGUCGAAGAUACCAGCUGGCUGCAACUGUUUAUUAAAAACACAGCACUGUGCAAACACGAAAGUGGACGUAUACGGUGUGACGCCUGCCCGGUGCCGGAAGGUUAAUUGAUGGGGUUAUCCGUAAGGAGAAGCUCUUGAUCGAAGCCCCGGUAAACGGCGGCCGUAACUAUAACGGUCCUAAGGUAGCGAAAUUCCUUGUCGGGUAAGUUCCGACCUGCACGAAUGGCGUAAUGAUGGCCAGGCUGUCUCCACCCGAGACUCAGUGAAAUUGAACUCGCUGUGAAGAUGCAGUGUACCCGCGGCAAGACGGAAAGACCCCGUGAACCUUUACUAUAGCUUGACACUGAACAUUGAGCCUUGAUGUGUAGGAUAGGUGGGAGGCUUUGAAGCGUGGACGCCAGUCUGCGUGGAGCCAACCUUGAAAUACCACCCUUUAAUGUUUGAUGUUCUAACGUUGGCCCCUGACCGGGGUUGCGGACAGUGUCUGGUGGGUAGUUUGACUGGGGCGGUCUCCUCCCAAAGCGUAACGGAGGAGCACGAAGGUUAGCUAAUCCUGGUCGGACAUCAGGAGGUUAGUGCAAUGGCAUAAGCUAGCUUGACUGCGAGCGUGACGGCGCGAGCAGGUGCGAAAGCAGGUCAUAGUGAUCCGGUGGUUCUGAAUGGAAGGGCCAUCGCUCAACGGAUAAAAGGUACUCCGGGGAUAACAGGCUGAUACCGCCCAAGAGUUCAUAUCGACGGCGGUGUUUGGCACCUCGAUGUCGGCUCAUCACAUCCUGGGGCUGAAGUAGGUCCCAAGGGUAUGGCUGUUCGCCAUUUAAAGUGGUACGCGAGCUGGGUUUAGAACGUCGUGAGACAGUUCGGUCCCUAUCUGCCGUGGGCGCUGGAGAAUUGAGGGGGGCUGCUCCUAGUACGAGAGGACCGGAGUGGACGCAUCACUGGUGUUCGGGUUGUCAUGCCAAUGGCACUGCCCGGUAGCUAAAUGCGGAAGAGAUAAGUGCUGAAAGCAUCUAAGCACGAAACUUGCCCCGAGAUGAGUUCUCCCUGAGACUUUAAGUCUCCUGAAGGAACGUUAAAGACGAUGACGUUGAUAGGCCGGGUGUGUAAGCGCAGCGAUGCGUUGAGCUAACCGGUACUAAUGAACCGUGAGGCUUAACCUU